RNAcentral lists this long non-coding RNA (258 nucleotides) under Brachypodium distachyon (stiff brome). RNAcentral describes it as "long non-coding RNA (BDIS_LNC000401)". The record is from RNAcentral. Lineage: Eukaryota; Viridiplantae; Streptophyta; Magnoliopsida; Poales; Poaceae.
CCCCCUAAUCCUUAGAAAGCAGCAGUAGCCGGUAGUGUAAUACUCAGUUUUCCGCAUAUCGUGGCAUGCUACUCCGUUUAAUUAUUAGCCAUUUUGUUUUGUUUUUUUUUGUUAAUUUGACAUCAUUUGGAACAGAUUUGAACGUGGGAGAGAAUCAGAUCCCGACAGCAUAUACUCCCUCCGUCGCAUAUUAAGUAAAUUAAAUUUGCCCAAUAUGGAUGUAUCUAUGCCUUAAAAAUAUUUGCAUACAUGUAAUAG